This 68-nucleotide transfer RNA is filed under the name Candidatus Moduliflexus flocculans. It matches the Rfam family "tRNA". From Rfam's summary of the family: Transfer RNA (tRNA) molecules are approximately 80 nucleotides in length. Their secondary structure includes four short double-helical elements and three loops (D, anti-codon, and T loops). The record is from Rfam by way of RNAcentral. Lineage: Bacteria; Candidatus Moduliflexota; Candidatus Moduliflexia; Candidatus Moduliflexales; Candidatus Moduliflexaceae.
GGUGGCGUAGCAAAGGGCUACUUCGACUGAUAAUCGAGAGGCUGCGGGUUCGAAUCCCGUCCCCUUCA